AAGUCGAGCGGAAACGAAGAGGUGCUUGCACCUCUGGCGUCGAGCGGCGGACGGGUGAGUAAUGCUUGGGAAUAUGCCUUAUGGUGGGGGACAACAGUUGGAAACGACUGCUAAUACCGCAUGAUGUCUACGGACCAAAGUGGGGGACCUUCGGGCCUCACGCCAUAAGAUUAGCCCAAGUGGGAUUAGCUAGUUGGUGAGGUAAUGGCUCACCAAGGCGACGAUCCCUAGCUGGUUUGAGAGGAUGAUCAGCCACACUGGGACUGAGACACGGCCCAGACUCCUACGGGAGGCAGCAGUGGGGAAUAUUGCACAAUGGGCGCAAGCCUGAUGCAGCCAUGCCGCGUGUGUGAAGAAGGCCUUCGGGUUGUAAAGCACUUUCAGUAAGGAGGAAAGGUUAAGUGUUAAUAGCACUUAGCUGUGACGUUACCUACAGAAGAAGCACCGGCUAACUCCGUGCCAGCAGCCGCGGUAAUACGGAGGGUGCGAGCGUCAAUCGGAAUUACUG
Molecule: ribosomal RNA, 508 nt
Filed under: uncultured bacterium
Lineage: Bacteria
Description: bacterial SSU rRNA
Rfam family: Bacterial small subunit ribosomal RNA
Source: RNAcentral